GGGCGGGUGGCGGAAUGGCAGACGCGUUGGACUUAAAAUCCAAUGAGCUCAAUAGUCGUGAGGGAUCGACUCCCUCCUCGCCCACCA
RNAcentral lists this transfer RNA (87 nucleotides) under bacterium. RNAcentral's name for it is "tRNA-Leu". It matches the Rfam family "tRNA". Rfam says of the family: Transfer RNA (tRNA) molecules are approximately 80 nucleotides in length. Their secondary structure includes four short double-helical elements and three loops (D, anti-codon, and T loops). The record is from RNAcentral.